UCUUCCUCCAUUGUCGGUAUUGAAUUAAAAUCUCCUCUCUCUCUCUCUCACCGCACACUAUCCUUUUUAUCUCUGCUUCAAAUAAAACCCUAGAUGUAAUUCUAUAUUUCAGUUUCUUGAUUUCUUGAUUGUUGAUAAACCUCUCAGUCAAUCCUCUCAAUUCCUACACUAAACUAUCAUCUGAGAUAUGAGGUCUGAAACCCUAACGAUCGGAUUAUUGUAGAGAACGUGGUGGUUGUGGUUAGUUGUGGAUGAUGGAGGCGACGCUGGUGAUUAAGGUUCUUUCCCUUUUUUUCUUUCACCCUCUUCACAUUUACAAACCCUAAUACACAUAUACUACUUUACUACUUCUUUGGCACAUAUGAACUCUCACCGGCUUAAUUCAAUAUGUUGGUAGAAUCUGUGAAUGUUUGGGCAAAAAUUUAUGCUAUGAGUUACCACAAGUCACUUAACCAUCACAACUUUUAUUUCAAACAACAAGAUUCAAGGAGCUUGAGUACUAGAGAUGCACUAAUACUUCACAAGUUAUACCCAAGUUAUGGAUUGUAAGUUCCGUUCUUGUGUCUAUACGCAGCCUGCUGAUUUUUUCUACGAAAAACCACAAAAAAACGCAGGUUUUUUCAGCGAAAAACGCAACCAGCAACAGCGUCGCUGCAGGUUUGUUCGAUGAACGUUUUCGACGGACGAUGCAGCCUGCAGGUUUUUUUCAGCGAUUUGCAAGUUUUUUUGUCUGGUUUCGGCGAAAAACAACAGCAUGACAGCACAGGUCUGCAGAGAUUAUUAACUCCGUCCGGCUUUAGGCGAAUAUGGUGGCCGGUAGGAUGAACUGCCAGCUGAAGCGACAAAAGACAGCAGCCACAACUAGGUUUUUGUAUGUAAAACCUGAAUUUCUAGACAAGAAGAUGGUUUAUCCAAACUAAAUAGCGGAUACGUGUUUUUAAUGCUUUCUUUAUGACAAUGAGGAGACAAGGAGGAGUAUUGCUACGAUAGGCCAACCAUGAUUGUUUAGGUUUUUGUUCGACCAAAUUGAUCCUCCUAAAGUUCUUUGAGGUAAACCCUAAUAUAUGUGUAUUAGUAUGGUAUAUAUGUUGUUGAUUUUUGUGUAUGAUCUGAGUGUUGAGGAUGGUGAUUGAAUGGAUUUUGCAUGCUUACGUUUACUCUGUUGAGGAUAGUGAUCCGGCAUUAUCUGCUGAUGACUUUGCCGGGUAGGUUGCUAGUGUUUUUGGCUCUAUUGGGUAAAGUUUUCUUUUGCAUACUUUUAAUUUUUUUUAUAAAUGGAAGAAGUUUAAUAGAUAUGUAAAUUGUUGUUCCAUACUAGGUGUAGGUAUGUGCUUAUAGGCCAAAUUGCUAUGUUUUAUUUCAAACACGCUGAAUAAAGCAUUUAAUUGCAAAUGGAAAAUGAGACAUGUCUAAAUUUACUAGACUGUGUUUGGCAUGGUUUUAGUAAAUAACAAAACGUAUUUGCGGUUUAGAUUCGAUAUACCAUUUGAGGCGUUAAACCUUUUCAUUUUUUACAAAAUAAGGUUCGUAACAAGUGGCGGUGAGCAAAAUAUUGAAUAUUUGAAAUAAACAAAUUGAGAUGAGGUCUUAAUAGUUCAGCU
This 1601-nucleotide long non-coding RNA is filed under the name Helianthus annuus (common sunflower). Lineage: Eukaryota; Viridiplantae; Streptophyta; Magnoliopsida; Asterales; Asteraceae. The record is from RNAcentral.